AGAUUGAACGCUGGCGGCAUGCCUAACACAUGCAAGUCGAACGGGAGUAGCAAUACUCUAGUGGCGGACGGGUGAGGAAUACGUAGGAAUUUGCCCUUAAGUGGGGGAUAACCCGGGGAAACCCGGAUUAAUACCGCAUGACCUCGAAAGAGCAAAGUGGGGGAUCGCAAGACCUCACGCUUUUGGAGAAGCCUACGUCGGAUUAGCUAGUUGGUGAGGUAAUGGCUCACCAAGGCGACGAUCCGUAACUGGUCUGAGAGGAUGAUCAGUCACACCGGAACUGAGACACGGUCCGGACUCCUACGGGAGGCAGCAGUGGGGAACUA
This 326-nucleotide ribosomal RNA is filed under the name uncultured soil bacterium. RNAcentral describes it as "bacterial SSU rRNA". It matches the Rfam family "Bacterial small subunit ribosomal RNA", at positions 26 to 364 of the family's 1533-position model. The record is from RNAcentral.